CAUGUCUUUUUGUAAAUAUAAAGAGUCCGAUCUGCCCACUGAUGAGUGUAUUAAAGGGCCGCAGUAUUUUAACUGUGCAAAGGUAGCAUAAUCACUAGUUCUUUAAUUGAGAUCUUGAAUGAAUGAUUAGACAAAAAAACUACUGUCUUUAUGAUAAUAAUUGAAUUUAACUUUUGAGUGAAAAGGCUUAAAUAGUUUAAAGUGACGAUAAGACCCUAUAAAGCUUAAUAUUAUUAUAAAAUUUUUGGUAAUUUAAAUAUAAAGUUUUGAGGUUUAUUAAUAUUUUAUUGGGGCGAUAAAAGUAAAAGGUUUAAUAACUGCUUUUUUUUUAAUCAAAUAUAAAUGGUUAAUAUAUGAAAUGAUCUUAUUUAUAGAGUAAAAGAUUAAGUUACUUUAGGGAUAACAGCGUUAUUUUUUUUAAGAGUUCUUAUCGAAAGAAAAGAUUGCGACCUCGAUGUUGAAUUAAAAUAUCUGUAUAAUUGUAGCGGUUAUAUGAGAAGGUCUGUUCGACCUUUAAAUUUUUACAUGAUUUGAGUUCAGACCGGUUUAAACCAGGUCGGUUUCUAUCUUUUAAUUAAAUUAUAAUUAUUUUA
This 593-nucleotide ribosomal RNA is filed under the name Opecarcinus lobifrons. Its description in RNAcentral is "partial 16S ribosomal RNA". It matches the Rfam family "Bacterial large subunit ribosomal RNA", at positions 1814 to 2667 of the family's 2925-position model. The record is from RNAcentral. Lineage: Eukaryota; Metazoa; Arthropoda; Malacostraca; Decapoda; Cryptochiridae.